AUACCAGAGUUUGUCGCUGUUUAGCGAGGUAUUACCAGGUUGUGGUCGAUUAUGUAGCAAUCGACAGGGAUGCCCUCUGAGCGCGCAGUUCCUUCGAGUUGGUCUUGUGAGUUAUAGAGGGCCCUCACUUGUCUUCUCGAUUGACACAUUUGGAUUCUAAGAUCUCGGUAUACGUUAUCUUAGUUUCCGAGUAUUGAGAUGCUUACUGCUUAGCGGCAGUGGAGCGUCUGGGGUAGCCUUAACUAUUUUAGGGGACACUAGCUAGUCGUCGAAGAAAGAAGAUAUAUAUGUAAAUUAUAAGCAAACAUAAAGUAACUAUAUUGAUGGUUGUUGGCAUGAUUGAAUCAAGGGGACCGAGGUUCCCCGGUGAGUAAACUUAAUCUUUAUUAGAUGGGUCAGUACAGUAAAUCGUAAACAUUUUUGUUUCAUGGUACUCUCAAUCUCUUGCUGUAUACAUGGUGGAGCUCGCUGAAUGAACUGCAUUGUCAAUACUCACGAUGGCUCCAAAACAAAAACAGAAUCGCCUCAAGGGCUCCACUAGAUAUAGCGAGGAAAUUAUUCAAAAAGCUCUUGAAGAAAUUCGAUCAGGAGAAUCAAAAAAGGCAACAUCUCGAAAGCAUGGGAUUCCAAGGGCAACCCUAUAGUUCAGACUUAGUAAAAAAUUCAAAAAAAUAAAAAAAGGUCCGUCUACAUACUUGACAGAGGUAAAGGAGAUUCAUUUAAAAGAAUGGAUUAUUGAUAGUCAGUACAAAGGUUGCCCAAGGCGUAAAAUUGACAUUCAAACAUCUGUUCAAACAUUUCUAAAUCAAACUGAUAGAAGAGCACCAUUUAAAAAGAAUUUACCAGGCGAUAAAUGGUUGAACCAUUUUUUUAAAGCGGCAUCCCGAAUUAGCAAAUCGAACUGCAGAGGCGGUUACUUCAGCUUCAGCAAAUGUAGCAGAAAGCGAUAUUAAAAAGUGCUUCACAGAUAUCGAAUUUUAUUUAAAAAAGAAGGACCUAUUUGACAUCAUGAAGGAUCCCAGCAGAAUUUUUAAUGGCGACGAAAUAAACUUUUAUUAUGUGCCAAAACUUGGAAAAGUCGUUGCUCUAAAAGGCUCCAAGAACGUUUACGAAGUAGAUAUGGGAGAUGCGAAACAGAAUCUCACUGUGAUGUUCACCUUCUCAGCAUCGGGUACAAUAACACCGCCGAUGAUCAUCUUCCCAAACAAGAGACUUCCACAAUCGGUAAAGGACAGUGUUCCAGAAGG
Molecule: long non-coding RNA, 1247 nt
Organism: Anthonomus grandis grandis
Lineage: Eukaryota; Metazoa; Arthropoda; Insecta; Coleoptera; Curculionidae
Exons: 3
Source: RefSeq, a predicted model, not a curated record